RNAcentral lists this long non-coding RNA (790 nucleotides) under Eucalyptus grandis. RNAcentral's name for it is "long non-coding RNA (EGRA_LNC004376)". Lineage: Eukaryota; Viridiplantae; Streptophyta; Magnoliopsida; Myrtales; Myrtaceae. The record is from RNAcentral.
CUGGAGCUAGAGGUGGAGACAAACCCUACUUAAGAGAUAAACCCCAUAGCUGCCUAGUUCAAUCGAAGGAAUGCUAAAGUUUAGAGACAAAGUUCUUACGAGCCAUGACAAAACCUGAUUUUGGGCUUGACAACCCAUGGACCUCGGUAUGACAAAACCGACCUCAGGCAGGGCUGUAAUUGCAACACUCCAAUAUUCGGUUGCUUGAGAAGACAUAUGCCAACGCUCUUAUGAUGCGUUGCCUUUAAGGCAACGAAGAACGCAAAUGAUGCGUCUCCAAGAGAGAGUCAAAAGCGAUCCUCCUCUCACCAGCUCUUUUUGUGUGUGCAUGUUUGCAUAUGUAUAAUGAGGAAGCUCAGCUGCAGCAGAGUGUCGUCUGACGAAACUGGUUUGCGCUCUGGGAUUUAACAUCUUGUGGAGUUCUGUUGCUUCUUUGGUUCCUUUAUUCGCUCAUCAGGUCGCCAACACAACAGCAAUCACUCUCAGCCGUCUUGUCUUCCAUCUGUAAUCUGUCUGUAACAUUUCGGUCGCAGUCUAUACUGCUAAAACGGCUCAGCAGGGCCUUUCUUGGUUUUGCAGAGUGUUUUUACUUCGAAGUAAGCCCUAACUCAGACAUCCAUUAUAUGCAUCUCCAGAACAAAAUGCCUUCAUCUCAGUAUUCUCUCCCUUUCUUCUCGGCAUGUCUCAGGGUCUCGUUAAUUCUGAUAGGAAUUCUGUUUGGUUGGUCUGGAAAAUUGAGAUCAUCUAUUCUUUUAAUGCACAUGGACUGGAAGCAUAUGGCAUAUUAUCC